CCUACGGGGGGCUGCAGUGGGGAAUAUUGCACAAUGGGGGAAACCCUGAUGCAGCGACACCGCGUGAGUGAAGAAGUAUUUCGGUAUGUAAAGCUCUAUCAGCAGGGAAGAAAAUGACGGUACCUGACUAAGAAGCCCCGGCUAACUACGUGCCAGCAGCCGCGGUAAUACGUAGGGGGCAAGCGUUAUCCGGAUUUACUGGGGUUAAAGGGAGCGUAGGCGGUGUGGCAAGUCAGAAGUGAAAGCCCGGGGCUCAACUCCGGGACUGCUUUGGAAACUGGGUGACUGGAGUGCAGGAGAGGUAGGCGGAAUUCCUGGUGUAGCGGUGAAAUGCGUAGAUAUCAGGAGGAACACCAGUGGCGAAGGCGGCUUACUGGACUGUAACUGACGUUGAGGCUCGAAAGCGUGGGGAGCAAACAGGAUUAGAUACCCUUGUAGUC
RNAcentral lists this ribosomal RNA (440 nucleotides) under uncultured bacterium. Its description in RNAcentral is "partial 16S ribosomal RNA". It matches the Rfam family "Bacterial small subunit ribosomal RNA", at positions 338 to 795 of the family's 1533-position model. The record is from RNAcentral.